This 1721-nucleotide long non-coding RNA is filed under the name Fragaria vesca (wild strawberry). RNAcentral describes it as "long non-coding RNA (FVES_LNC005600)". Lineage: Eukaryota; Viridiplantae; Streptophyta; Magnoliopsida; Rosales; Rosaceae. The record is from RNAcentral.
ACUCUUCUCUCUCUCUCUCUCUCUCUCUCUCUCUCUCUCUCUCUCUCUCUCUCUCUCUCUCUCUCUCUCUCUCUCUCUCUCUCUCUCUCUCAUAUCCCUCUGGUCUAGGUUGUCUCUCUCCAAUCGCUCUUCAUCGCCGGCAUCGGCGUCGACGUCGUCAUCAAUGACGAAGACAACAUCGACAAUGACGACUCCGGCGCCGUCGUCAUCGACUGCAUCCACCUCAAACGUCAUCGACGACUAGAUCCACUCCAUAUCCGGCUCGUCGACAUGACCAUGCCGCCGACGAUAGACCGCUUCGCCGCCACUCUGCCAAUCGGCGAGAUCUGUACGCAUCCCAAUCUCCUUCGUGCUUAAAGUAAUUGCAGCGGCUUUGCAAGGAAAGAUUCGUCAUGGAGCCUCAGUUUCCGAUUCGUUGUUUCGAUUCCAAAUCGAGGAACAUCCUCUUGCUUUGAUCUCUGCUCAGAAAUCUGAAAGCAACAACUCUCACUGUAACUCGUCGGCAAUGUAGGCUGUGCUGAUGCAGACGGAGGACAAAUCUGAGCCGAUAAAACCUUCGUCGGCGGCCGUCGCCGGAGUGAGGAGUCGUCGGUGAUGCAAAAAAGCUGCCGCUUAGCAGGAUUGUCCAUUUUCGUAAUUUGAGUUAUUGAUUUCGAGUUUGUGUAGUGUGGUGUAGGGGUGGACUCGGUCCCAACGGUUCGGUUUUCAAGCACUAACUGAAAACCAAAACUGAAGCUUCGGUUUUCUAUUUUCUAGAACCGAAACCGAUAAAAAUAUAUAAAAGACCGCACUCGUCGGUUAACCUAACAUCGGUUCGGUUUCGGUGCAGUUUCGGUUAUAAAAACUAUUAUCCGUAAUAUUUUUUACACUUAACCAAAUAACAUAAAAAAUAAAAAUAUCAAACUUGUAAACUAUCAACACUUCAAAUAAGUUAAUCUAAUGGGUUGAAAUAAGUCAUCCAAAUGAAAAAGGAAGCUAAAAUUUAUAUAUAAUUCAUUUGAAGCAUCCAACAUUCAUAUAUAACAAAAGAUAAAACUAUAUGGGAAAGAUUUCGGUUAGACUUAAACACUUAAAGACAUAAUCAUGUGUGUGAAAAUCUACUAUUUGUAACUCAUAACCAAUAAGAACAUGACAUGUAAUAUAGAAUUAAGUAUUAAUAAUUAAUAUAUGUCGGUUCGGUUUAAUCGGUUUUUAGGAUGGAACAGCAAACCGACACUGCACUACUCGGUUUGUGUGAUUUCCUGAACCGAUUGUACGUCUCGGUUCUAUUCGGUUUCAAUUACUCAAUGUCGGUUCGGUGUAGUUUUAACCGGUUUCGGUUUGUUCGGUACCUAAAAGUCCACCCCUAGUGUGGUGGUCACUCAGUUUUGAUAUUUGAUUGGAUUUUUCGUAUCAUUGCUUUUUUAUUAGGGUGGCAAUCUCUUUUGAGUGGCUUGAUUAUAUAGGUAUGAUGCAAUUAUUAGUUUAGACGAUUAUGUAGGGUUAAUAAACAACUUUUUGGAGGUUAUAGAAAAAUUAUUAACUAAUGAAAUCUAUUGACCUAAAAAAAAAAAUAUGGGUAAAACAUAACGGCAAAUACUUGUGUGCCUUAAGGUAUGGAUACCUUAACCACAUGGUUGCUUAUGAUUGGUCCAACUAGAUUAAUGAUGACCUGCUACCUGUUUGACUGGUCAUCCAAUUUAAAUCUCAAACUAACUCUCACUCUCUCACUAACGGGGUUA